Molecule: ribosomal RNA, 636 nt
Filed under: Paraburkholderia sp.
Lineage: Bacteria; Pseudomonadati; Pseudomonadota; Betaproteobacteria; Burkholderiales; Burkholderiaceae
Description: bacterial SSU rRNA
Rfam family: Bacterial small subunit ribosomal RNA
Source: RNAcentral
CAAUGGGCGAAAGCCUGAUCCAGCAAUGCCGCGUGUGUGAAGAAGGCCUUCGGGUUGUAAAGCACUUUUGUCCGGAAAGAAAACCUCCGCCCUAAUAUGGUGGGGGGAUGACGGUACCGGAAGAAUAAGCACCGGCUAACUACGUGCCAGCAGCCGCGGUAAUACGUAGGGUGCAAGCGUUAAUCGGAAUUACUGGGCGUAAAGCGUGCGCAGGCGGUCCGCUAAGACAGAUGUGAAAUCCCCGGGCUUAACCUGGGAACUGCAUUUGUGACUGGCGGGCUAGAGUAUGGCAGAGGGGGGUAGAAUUCCACGUGUAGCAGUGAAAUGCGUAGAGAUGUGGAGGAAUACCGAUGGCGAAGGCAGCCCCCUGGGCCAAUACUGACGCUCAUGCACGAAAGCGUGGGGAGCAAACAGGAUUAGAUACCCUGGUAGUCCACGCCCUAAACGAUGUCAACUAGUUGUCGGGUCUUCAUUGACUUGGUAACGUAGCUAACGCGUGAAGUUGACCGCCUGGGGAGUACGGUCGCAAGAUUAAAACUCAAAGGAAUUGACGGGGACCCGCACAAGCGGUGGAUGAUGUGGAUUAAUUCGAUGCAACGCGAAAAACCUUACCUACCCUUGACAUGUAUGGAACCU